GACGGACGCUGGCGGCGUGCUUAACACAUGCAAGUCGAACGGAAAGGCCCCAGCUUGCUGGGGUACUCGAGUGGCGAACGGGUGAGUAACACGUGGGUGAUCUGCCCUGCACUCUGGGAUAAGCCUGGGAAACUGGGUCUAAUACCGGAUAGGACCGUGCUUUAGUGUGUGCGGUGGAAAGUUUUUCGGUGCGGGAUGAGCCCGCGGCCUAUCAGCUUGUUGGUGGGGUAAUGGCCUACCAAGGCGGCGACGGGUAGCCGGCCUGAGAGGGUGUACGGCCACAUUGGGACUGAGACACGGCCCAGACUCCUACGGGAGGCAGCAGUGGGGAAUAUUGCACAAUGGGCGCAAGCCUGAUGCAGCGACGCCGCGUGGGGGAUGACGGCCUUCGGGUUGUAAACCCCUUUCGGCAGGGACGAAGCUUUUGUGACGGUACCUGCAUAAGAAGCACCGGCUAACUACGUG
Molecule: ribosomal RNA, 465 nt
Filed under: uncultured bacterium
Lineage: Bacteria
Description: partial 16S ribosomal RNA
Rfam family: Bacterial small subunit ribosomal RNA
Source: RNAcentral